RNAcentral lists this ribosomal RNA (301 nucleotides) under uncultured bacterium. RNAcentral's name for it is "partial 16S ribosomal RNA". It matches the Rfam family "Bacterial small subunit ribosomal RNA", at positions 509 to 808 of the family's 1533-position model. The record is from RNAcentral.
CAGUAGCCGCGGUAAUACGUAGGGUGCAAGCGUUAAUCGGAAUUACUGGGCGUAAAGCGUGCGCAGGCGGUUAUAUAAGACAGAUGUGAAAUCCCCGGGCUCAACCUGGGAACUGCAUUUGUGACUGUAUAGCUAGAGUACGGCAGAGGGGGAUGGAAUUCCGCGUGUAGCAGUGAAAUGCGUAGAUAUGCGGAGGAACACCGAUGGCGAAGGCAAUCCCCUGGGCCUGUACUGACGCUCAUGCACGAAAGCGUGGGGAGCAAACAGGAUUAGAUACCCGGGUAGUCCCUGUCUCUUAACC